GUUAGAAUUUGAGAAUGAAGGCUGGAGGAAGACAGAAGUCAAUUGCUAAUCUUGGUACAUCCAAACUAAUUAGGGUUUUCUGUAUUAAGACUAUCAGCACACUCAAGCUACUUUUGCAAAGAAUAAGACUGGAUCCCUCCUUGACCUCUGGACUCCAACUGAAACAAUCACCCCAGAUCCCCCAAAUGUCUGUUAGUGAUUCCAGGGUUGGUCUAUCCCAGGUAAGAGCUGUCCAUGGGAGCAGUGCUUGAGUAUCUGUGGCUCUAAGGCUGCCCUCUGUCAAAAUGAUUGUUUGCCACGUUGUUUGAUCAAAGGGGGAUGGUAAAAGGAUUGAUAAUCACACCCCAGGUCAUGAAGACAAAGGCUGGAAUUGACAGAUGAGGUAGAUGGAUAGGAGAGGCUUAGCAUGCUAAAAGGUGUUGUAAAAUUGUCAAGAGGAUGGUUUGGAGGCAAAUUCUAUGAAUCCUGGGAAUCUGUUGGGACAUCCCUUCUCAAGGGCAGCCUGGCCCUUUGCUGGUUGGAGGCCAGUUUUUGCAGUGAAUGAAACUGCCAGAUUACUUAGUGACCCAUUGUAGGAAUAGGUAGGGUCCUGAAGAAUCAACUUACCUUGGAUCUCACAGCAUGAAGUUGGACUGGCCAGAAUGAAGGGCAGUAAAACUGUCAUCAAACCAACACAAAAUUUCCUUUAAUUGUUUGUUAGUAGCAUGACCUAGGGCUUUAGCUGUCCUAGAAGGCAAUCAAGGUUAAAACCAAGGGCUCUGAAGUUCAUCUGAGUUCAAAAAUCAACUCCACUGCUUAUAAGCCAUGUAAUCGUACUGUUUAAAAUAACCUAAUAUGUCUAAAAUUGUUGACUCUGUAAAAUAAUCUAUUCAUCUUUCUAAAAUAGCAUAUGCUCCUGCCUGCCUUCUCUGCUGCCCCACCACCCCACAUAUUUUUCUCUGGCAGCCACAAAUUGCUGGAUGGAACCAUAUGAAUUCUAAAUUACUUUUAAAAAUUGACAUUACUUUGCUGUAAGCCAACUACUUCAUAAACUGUGUCAGCUAAAGGUCUCCCCACCAGUUAGUCUGAAGAAGUUUUUGCUGUCAUAUCUGUCCUGUUAAUUUAAGCAGAAACUGUAAUUAGAUGUAAGUGGUCCUGUUCCCACAGAAAUGAAUGGCAGCAUCUGUAGAGAGACAACCGUUCCAAACCCUUUUGGCUACCAGUGCUCUACAAGUUAGCAGUAUGGAGCAAGGCCCAGAUCCAGACUUCUGUCGGCCUAAUUUUAUAUCUGUGGAUGCACAACACUAAAUCCAAUAUUUCUAAUGCCUUGCUGUGAUGGGUGCAAAGCCAAGCACAUUCCAGACUUUUGUGCUGGUGACUCCUCCUGAGAAGGACACACUGUGUGUUUGUGUGUGUGUGUGUUUUCUAUUUUCCUCAAUCACUUAGCAUAGAUAGGAAAAAUAGAGGUUUUAUAAGUAGCUAUGUGUGAAACCAGAAAAUCGGAAAAAUAAGUAAGUUGUGUUUAUAACAGAGCAAUGGAAUCACAAAGAUAUUUUGAAUAAAGAUGUUUUGCUCCUUUGUUUACCUCUCUGA
This 1572-nucleotide long non-coding RNA is filed under the name Vulpes vulpes (red fox). RNAcentral's name for it is "lncRNA (ENSVVUG00000029571.1)". The record is from RNAcentral. Lineage: Eukaryota; Metazoa; Chordata; Mammalia; Carnivora; Canidae.